UUAGGGUUUAAACGAUCCCUACCAAUGUGUACAUUUGUGGUUUAAGUGAAUCUUUGUUUCUGAAAUUACUUCUGUGGUAAAUAUCAGUUUGUGUAACUAAUCUAUCAGAAAAUACUAGACCUGGUGACUGAAUGUGGUAGAUGUAUUAGAAUUUUGGACAUGUUAUGCAUGUGUAGCUCCCUAUGUGUAUGAUCUAUGUGUAAUCCUUCUGUCAAGAAAUGAGCAGACUGAGGUUUGUGAAAUAAUUGAACUGUUUAUUGGCUACGUUGUUGAGAAAAACACUGUGAUGUGUAAAACAUUUCUACAGUCCUUCAAGGCUGUAUGAUGUCGUUGUUCUCUUUUACUGAAAGAAAGGUCAAAACCAUCGGUGUUAUUCGUUGUGAAGACUGAAGUGACA
Molecule: long non-coding RNA, 397 nt
Organism: Ictalurus punctatus (channel catfish)
Lineage: Eukaryota; Metazoa; Chordata; Actinopteri; Siluriformes; Ictaluridae
Source: Ensembl